Molecule: RNA transcript, 3069 nt
Organism: Oncorhynchus gorbuscha (pink salmon)
Lineage: Eukaryota; Metazoa; Chordata; Actinopteri; Salmoniformes; Salmonidae
Gene name: dachshund homolog 2-like
Exons: 10
Source: RefSeq, a predicted model, not a curated record
ACCGAGAGAAAAGCACAGAGAGAGUGAGGAGAGGACCGAGAACAAAUAAGCGCCAGUGAGAGAGAACAACAAGUGAAAGUGACCAUGUCCACCACUAUGGCCGUCCCGGCGACCCCUCCUGUCCUCUCACCCGGCUCAGGAGCACCUUCUUCCUUGGGAAUAUUCCGCUCAGACCCGAUCUACACCGCCACAACCACCAGCCCUCAUCCAGACUCCCCCUCCCCGCGGCUCACCACCACCGGACUCAACCCCUUCCUAACCGGGUCAGGAGUCCCAUCCGGUGCCUUGGGAUUCGCCAACACACCGGUUUUUCGAGAUCGAGGAAUUUCCACCACUACAACUACAACCACAACCAGUGAGUGCAGAAUGGUGGAUGUACACGGAGUAAAAGUCGCCUCUUUCAGCGUCGGAGGACAGGACGACUUGAUUUGUCUACCCCAAGUUUUUGACCUCUUUCUAAAACAUCUCGUCGGCGGGCUUCAUACCGUUUACACCAAGCUGAAACGCCUGGAUAUUUGUCCGGUUGUGUGUACUGUGUCGCAGGUCCGGGUCCUGAGGGGUCUCGGUGCGAUCCAACCGGGAGUCAACCGCUGCAAGCUCAUCUCCAGGCGAGACUUCGAGGCGCUCUACACUGAUUGCACCAUUGCGAGCUCUCGUCCGGGCCGGCCUCCAAAGCACUCUGUUGGGGGUGGGAUUCGGGAAAGCUCUGGGCAUCUCCAUCCUGGGGUUCACGGCCUGCUGUCACCUGGCAUGCUCUCUCACAAAGGCGGGAGUGAUUCUUCCUGGGAUAAGGAGAGGCUGGUGUCGCCCCUGUCUGGAGGUGGUGGGGUGGGCAGAAUAGGGAUGGGGGGAUGGGGGACUCAACAGAGUCUUAAACUAAAUGACCAGGUGAACUCACUACAGAAACAACUACUGGCCAACCGUCUCCAGGACCUCCCCUUCGUGAUGAUGACCCACCCCUUACUUCCUGUCCGGGUGCCCCCGGCGUCGGUUGCCAUGGCGAUGUCGCAGAUGAACCACCUCAACACCAUCGCUAACAUGGCGGCCGCCGCGCAGAUGCACACAUACACACACCAGGCCCCCAUCGUCAAGGAGCGUGUGUGUGACAGUCCAUCCCCAUCUCCUUCUGUCGACGAUAUACACACACCUCUCUUGUCCCAGCAGUCCUCACAGUCCAGCUCUACAGCAUCCAGCUCACCAGACCGUCUAACUCUCGAUAGAGAUGAAAGACAAAUAUUAGUGAAUAAAAUAGACAGAGUGAAAGGUAACCGUGUCUUGAAUACAACAGACUGCCGAUCUCACGAAGACUCUUCAUUGGCUCUCCCCAUGUCGAAGCCUUCAUUUGAUAGGCUGUCACCAGGCCAGGCCCUGCCGCCUGGCUUCCCUGCUCCCUUCCUGUUUGCUGGUGGAGUUUCCUCUGUUGAGACUCUACUCACCAACAUACAGGGCCUUCUGAAGGUGGCUGUAGAGAAUGCCCGUGUCCAGGACACUCAGAUCCAGGCAGAGAAGAGAGGACUGAAGAUGGAGCUGUACCGAGAGAGAGAGAUGAGAGAGAGUCUGGAGAGACAACUCACCUCUGAGUUACAGAGUAAAGCCUCCAUUCAGAAGCGCUUAAAGAAAGAGAAGAAAGCCAAGAGAAAGCUUCAGGAAGCAUUGGAGUUUGAGUCCAAACGGAGGGAGACGUUGGAGCAUUCUCUCAAACACUCCUCCUUGUUUCCCUCCCCCUCUCCUCCCGACACGCUACACACCAGCAGCAACGGUGAGACUCCUCCUUCCCAGUUGUGUAACCAGCUAUGUGGCAAGGUGUGUAACCAGGUGUGUAACCAGCUAUGUGGCAAGGUGUGUAACCAGGUGUGUAACCAGCUAUGUAACCAGGUGUGUAACCAGGUGUGUAACCAGGUGUGUAACCAGGUAUGUGGCAAGGUGUGUAACCAGCAAUGUGGCCAGGUUGUAACCAGGUGUGUAACCAGGUGUUUAACCAGGUGUGUAACCAGGUGUGUAACCAGGUGUGUAACCAGGUGUUUAACCAGGUGUGUAACCAGGUGUGUAACCAGGUGUGUAACCAGGUGUUUAACCAGGUGUGUAACCAGGUGUUUAACCAGGUGUGUAACCAGGUGUGUAACCAGGUGUGUAACCAGGUGUGUAACCAGGUGAUCACAGUGAAUGCUGUGUCAACGUUUAUUCAGUCUAAUGAGGGUUCUUCUUGACCACAGAUAUAGUUGUACCUGAAGAUUAACCAGAACUGAGUGGAAACCAGGACACUCUGAUUGGUCAAGAUCUAACCUUCAGUUCUGAUGACCUCACCCCGACCCAGUCACGGGAAAACACCAGCCCGUUGUCACGACGACCUAGACAGUGGACCUCCUGGAAAGCCCCCUUUCUCAUCCCCGCUGACUGACUAUCGUACGGCCUCAGAAAUAAACGGAUGAACCAAUGAGAGGAGAGUAAAAAAAAUAUAUAUAUAUAUAUAUUGGAUCAGAGCGACAUCAGUGUUCUGUUCGUUCGUUCCUUCUGAAACUUGGAAUGAUGGGAAGAGAGGAAUGUUGUUGUUUCAUCUCUUCAACUUCAACUACAUCUGUAUAUAUAUAUAUAUUUUUUUGGGGGGGGUUCGCAGCGACAUCUGUCUAUUUCUAUCUCUCUCUCUUUCGCUCUUCCCCUCCAGAAGUGUUUUGUGGGGAAAUAUUGAUUUAGGUCCUUACAUUAGUCCACCAUUCUGUUCCUGACCCCCCGAACUCUAACCCCUUGACCUAUAAGAGUGAGGACUGUUGUGUUGCUGUUUUUGGUUGUUUUGUUUUGUUCCUAUAAUUGUAUCGCGGUCGAGAGACUGAAUUGAGGACGAUGAAGAAAAGGCCGUGUGGAUAACAAGCAGUCGGCUCCGUCCCAAACAGAAGCCUUUUCGUCUCUGCUUUGGUCGCCAUGGCGAAAGAUUAAAACUCGCCAGUCACGGAGAAAAGGGUCCUUCUACUUGUAAAUAGUGUUUGUGACUAGUAGGAUGCCAUUUGAGACUCUGAGUGGUUUUACUCUUUGACUGUAUGGAGACCUGACGACAAAUACAUUAUUAUAAUACCA